UUAGUAUACUGAACAAAACAGAACGAUCAGCAACAAGGAAAAUGUUUGCAAAGUAUUUGUUCGCGUUCACACUGGUAAUGCUAUGUUUAGCAUUGACUUUUGGAGAAGAAGUGUCGGUAAAAUAUCAAAAAUGCAUCGCUGACUGCGAACGUAAAAAUGAAGAAAUUGCAAAAAAUAUGAGCCAAUCUUUCGCCCGAACUCGCCGCGCGAUAUGGUGUCAUGGCGUUUGCAGCAAACAGGAUUAAUCAAGCUUCACGUUCUUAAAAUUAAAUAUACAUUUGACGAUGCGGUAUAAAAGAAUUUACAUUAAUUAAUAAAAGUAUUUGAUAAAACAUUAUGAAUUAUUUCAAUAAUAUUUCCUUAAAUUAACUAUAUUCUACAGUCAUGCAAUGUAACUAAUUAUUACUCAAUCAUUAUUAAAUUUAUAAGUGGAGAUAUUCCAUUUAAAAAAAUUAACGUUCACUAAAAACUAGUGAUAAUUUUUAAACAGUAAAACUGGAAAUGUCUAAGGUUAUUCUGAAAAAGAAGGGUAUUCUGGAGGAGGGUUUCAUAAGUU
Phymastichus coffea is the source of this 556-nucleotide long non-coding RNA. RefSeq lists it as uncharacterized. The record is from RefSeq and is a predicted model, not a curated record. The transcript has 4 exons. NCBI's taxonomy places the organism in Eukaryota, Metazoa, Arthropoda, Insecta, Hymenoptera, Eulophidae.